GUGGGGUUGGGGGCAGGGGACAGAGGCAGGGAGGAAAGACGCCAUAAUCUUAGAAUGGCCUCUUAACAUCCAGCUGUAUUACAAACAAGAGCCAAGUUUCAUCCUCAUACAGCACCACCUGAGACCCAGACUAACAGCCUCUGGACCACCUCAUACGCCCGAACAACUACGUAUUUUACGGACUAGGAACCUGCAUGCCCCUGCUAUUACUUUUAAACCUUGUUGGGACGCUAAGGUGGGAGAGUGAAAACACCUCCUCAGCCCUGGCCCCUGCCAUCAGCACGCCACCACCUGGCACCAGACAGCUCCAGCUCCCAGAUGCGCUGUCCCCGGGUGGCCUCUGCGGGAAUCCUAGGUGAGGGAUGGGAUUACGAAACCCUAAACCACUCUGGCCUCGUGCGAAUCCCCGAAGACCAGCGGCUCCCUCCCGAAGGCCGCGCACCCCCGGGGCCUUUGCGCCUCCGCGUCAAUUUGCAUCCCCAACAAAGGCAUACUGCGCUGAUCCCCGAGAACUGCGAGUAUUAAUAAUCGUAAAAGACCCGGCGAUUACAAAAAGAGAAAGUGCUAAAUGUCAGAAACUGGGAAGAUUUUUAAAAGGCAACGCACCGAAUCCAAGUCUGUACUUUAACUUUUUUAAUAACGAUUUUUUUUUUUCUGGGCUGGAAGCUCGCACCGAAUCCUGGAGGAAUUGCUAAAUCAGAUUAAGGUUAUAUUUUGCAACAGACUGGAUGGAGCAAUAAAGGAGAGCGCGCGGAAAUGGGACUUCACCCAUCAAUUAGAUCUCUAUUAGCAGCCAAUGCAGGCUUCACCACAGGAAAUGUCACAUCCCUGCCCAGGCGGACCUCUUCGUUCCCCACCCCCAGCUCUCACCUCCCCUCUCCCCUAGAGUUAAACUCUUCGGGAACACACAUUGAAGCCAAACAAAUCUCUUUAUUUGGACGAGGGGUUUGGUUUUGUUUUUGUUUUUCUUCCCAGUCUUGUUUUGGAACCCGGCGCCACCUGCCUCCACCACCACCAGCACAGCGCCCUAACCCCGGGACACUCCGGCCCUGGCUGGCUGAACAGGUUGCAGCGCGACACCUGCGCUGUCUGCUGGGUCGCUCAGGACCGCAGUGCGGGGGACUGGUGCGCUGGGCCUUAUUAAUAUUAAAAGCUUUAUGACGGUCCUGAGCAGUCCAUAAUGAAAGGUGUUCUCUCCCUCAAUGGAAGAUGUGUGCAGUCCCGGCCCAGAGACUAGUGUCCUGCACCCAGAUUCCCCACUCCAUAACUCCAGAUGCUGGAAUCCAACUCUGAUG
RNAcentral lists this long non-coding RNA (1295 nucleotides) under Equus caballus (horse). RNAcentral describes it as "lncRNA (ENSECAG00000048016.1)". The record is from RNAcentral. Lineage: Eukaryota; Metazoa; Chordata; Mammalia; Perissodactyla; Equidae.